This 206-nucleotide microRNA precursor is filed under the name Oryza sativa Japonica Group (Japanese rice). Its description in RNAcentral is "MIR812 microRNA precursor family". It matches the Rfam family "MIR812 microRNA precursor family". Lineage: Eukaryota; Viridiplantae; Streptophyta; Magnoliopsida; Poales; Poaceae. The record is from Rfam by way of RNAcentral.
AAAAGGUGUAGUUUUACAUGAUUCAUAUUCAACGUUUGAACAUCCAUCUUAUUUGAAAAAAAAUUGAUUAGUAUUUUUAUAUUGUUAUUAGAUGAUAAAACAUAAGUAGUAUUUUAUAUGUAAAUAUUUUUUUUAUUUCUUUCAUAAAGUUUUUAAAUAAAAUGAUGGUGAAACGUUGGUCAUUUAAAUCCACAACUGCACUUAAA